AUUGAACGCUGGCGGCAGGCUUAACACAUGCAAGUCGAGCGGAGAGAGGUAGCUUGCUACUGAUCUUAGCGGCGGACGGGUGAGUAAUGCUUAGGAAUCUGCCUAUUAGUGGGGGACAACAUUUCGAAAGGAAUGCUAUUACCGCAUACGUCCUACGGGAGAAAGCAGGGGAUCUUCGGACCUUGCGCUAAUAGAUGAGCCUAAGUCGGAUUAGCUAGUUGGUGGGGUAAAGGCCGACCAAGGCGACGAGCUGUAGCGGGUCUGAGAGGGUGAUACGCCACACUGGGACUGAGACACGGCCCAGACUCCUACGGGAGGCAGCAGGAGGGAAUAUUGGACAAUGGGCGGAAGCCUGAUCCAGCCAGGCCGCGUGUGUGAAGAAGGCCUUAUGGUUGUAAAGCACUUUAAGCGAGGAGGAGGCUACUUUAGUUAAUACCUAGAGAUAGUGGACGUUACUCGCAGAAUAAGCACCGGCUAACUCUGUGCCAGCCGCCGCCGUAA
RNAcentral lists this ribosomal RNA (501 nucleotides) under uncultured bacterium. Its description in RNAcentral is "partial 16S ribosomal RNA". It matches the Rfam family "Bacterial small subunit ribosomal RNA", at positions 30 to 523 of the family's 1533-position model. The record is from RNAcentral.